GAUGAACGCUGGCGGCGUGCCUAAUACAUGCAAGUCGAGCGAACGGACGAGAAGCUUGCUUUUCUGAUGUUAGCGGCGGACGGGUGAGUAACACGUGGAUAACCUACCUAUAAGACUGGGAUAACUUCGGGAAACCGGAGCUAAUACCGGAUAAUAUUUUGAACCGCAUGGUUCAAAAGUGAAAGACGGUCUUGCUGUCACUUAUAGAUGGAUCCGCGCUGCAUUAGCUAGUUGGUAAGGUAACGGCUUACCAAGGCAACGAUGCAUAGCCGACCUGAGAGGGUGAUCGGCCACACUGGAACUGAGACACGGUCCAGACUCCUACGGGAGGCAGCAGUAGGGAAUCUUCCGCAAUGGGCGAAAGCCUGACGGAGCAACGCCGCGUGAGUGAUGAAGGUCUUCGGAUCGUAAAACUCUGUUAUUAGGGAAGAACAUAUGUGUAAGUAACUGUGCACAUCUUGACGGUACCUAAUCAGAAAGCCACGGCUAACUACGUGCCAGCAGCCGCGGUAAUACGUAGGUGGCAAGCGUUAUCCGGAAUUAUUGGGCGUAAAGCGCGCGUAGGCGGUUUUUUAAGUCUGAUGUGAAAGCCCACGGCUCAACCGUGGAGGGUCAUUGGAAACUGGAAAACUUGAGUGCAGAAGAGGAAAGUGGAAUUCCAUGUGUAGCGGUGAAAUGCGCAGAGAUGUGGAGGAACACCAGUGGCGAAGGCGACUUUCUGGUCUGUAACUGACGCUGAUGUGCGAAAGCGUGGGGAUCAAACAGGAUUAGAUACCCUGGUAGUCCACGCCGUAAACGAUGAGUGCUAAGUGUUAGGGGGUUUCCGCCCCUUAGUGCUGCAGCUAACGCAUUAAGCACUCCGCCUGGGGAGUACGACCGCAAGGUUGAAACUCAAAGGAAUUGACGGGGGCCCGCACAAGCGGUGGAGCAUGUGGUUUAAUUCGAAGCAACGCGAAGAACCUUACCAAAUCUUGACAUCCUUUGACAACUCUAGAGAUAGAGCCUUCCCCUUCGGGGGACAAAGUGACAGGUGGUGCAUGGUUGUCGUCAGCUCGUGUCGUGAGAUGUUGGGUUAAGUCCCGCAACGAGCGCAACCCUUAAGCUUAGUUGCCAUCAUUAAGUUGGGCACUCUAAGUUGACUGCCGGUGACAAACCGGAGGAAGGUGGGGAUGACGUCAAAUCAUCAUGCCCCUUAUGAUUUGGGCUACACACGUGCUACAAUGGACAAUACAAAGGGCAGCGAAACCGCGAGGUCAAGCAAAUCCCAUAAAGUUGUUCUCAGUCCGGAUUGUAGUCUGCAACUCGACUACAUGAAGCUGGAAUCGCUAGUAAUCGUAGAUCAGCAUGCUACGGUGAAUACGUUCCCGGGUCU
This 1372-nucleotide ribosomal RNA is filed under the name uncultured bacterium. Its description in RNAcentral is "bacterial SSU rRNA". It matches the Rfam family "Bacterial small subunit ribosomal RNA", at positions 28 to 1381 of the family's 1533-position model. The record is from RNAcentral.